GCCUUUGUGAUGUGACAGUCAGCACGCUCGGCUCGUAUUCGAGAGGUCCGAGGUUCGAGUCCCAGCAAGGGCA
This 73-nucleotide transfer RNA is filed under the name Stegodyphus mimosarum. It matches the Rfam family "tRNA". From Rfam's summary of the family: Transfer RNA (tRNA) molecules are approximately 80 nucleotides in length. Their secondary structure includes four short double-helical elements and three loops (D, anti-codon, and T loops). Further hydrogen bonds mediate the characteristic L-shaped molecular structure. tRNAs have two regions of fundamental functional importance: the anti-codon, which is responsible for specific mRNA codon recognition, and the 3' end, to which the tRNAs corresponding amino acid is attached (by aminoacyl-tRNA synthetases). tRNAs cope with the degeneracy of the genetic code in two manners: having more than one tRNA (with a specific anti-codon) for a particular amino acid; and 'wobble' base-pairing, i.e. permitting non-standard base-pairing at the 3rd anti-codon position. The record is from Rfam by way of RNAcentral. Lineage: Eukaryota; Metazoa; Arthropoda; Arachnida; Araneae; Eresidae.